GUAGGUGGCAAGCGUUGUCCGGGAAUUAUUGGGGCGUAAAGCGCGCGCAGGCGGUUCUUUAAGUCUGAUGUGAAAGCCCACGGGCUCAACCGUGGAGGGUCAUUGGAAACUGGAGAACUUGAGUACAGAAGAGGAAGGCGGAAUUCCACGUGUAGCGGUGAAAUGCGUAGAGAUGUGGAGGAACACCAGUGGCGAAGGCGGCUUUCUGGUCUGUAACUGACGCUGAGGCGCGAAAGCGUGGGGAGCAAACAGGAUUAGAUACCCUGGUAGUCCACGCCGUAAACGAUGAGUGCUAAGUGUUAGGGGGUUUCCGCCCCUUAGUGCUGCAGCUAACGCAUUAAGCACUCCGCCUGGGGAGUACGGCCGCAAAGGCUGA
Molecule: ribosomal RNA, 376 nt
Filed under: uncultured organism
Description: partial 16S ribosomal RNA
Rfam family: Bacterial small subunit ribosomal RNA
Source: RNAcentral